GAAGGAGGAUGAUUUGAUAUCGGUUGCUUUGCGCAUCGGUUGUCGUUAUUUCAGGUUUUGGAUGAUGCGUGAUUGAAGGGAAACGCUUCUUCUCCGUGCUAACGACGUCUUCAGGGGGUUUUGUUCUUCUUCUUCUUCUUCUAAAACUCAGUCUCUGUUUAUUUUGUUUUGAACCGAUCGAACAUUGGAUUUUCUAGGGUUUGGUUUCUAAAUUGCAUAGGUUUGCUUUAUAUAUGUUCAUGCUAUUUACAUGUUGUUAUGUUGUUCCAAGUUUUGGAUGAUGAGAGUGAUGGCUUUGAUGGACACGCUUCGUCUCUGUGCUACUUCUUCAAAGGGUCUUUUGGAAGCAAACCGUGAUCCAAUCAUCACGUUUCUAAUCCAUGUUAUUGUCUUCAACCGCUCUCAUGGAUUUGUGGAGGAUGAUCCUGCGAUUGAUCAGUGAUGGCUUUGUCUGAUCGUUGUCACUCUCUUACUGAUGUUGCUCUUCUAGAGUUUGGUUUCUAAAUUGAUCAUUCAAGGCUUUUUUAUUGUGGAGGAGGAUGCUUUGAACGGUUGGCGACAGUUUUGAUGGCUUGUAUUUGUCCACUCUCGCUACAUCUUCAGAUCAUGAGGAUUUGGAUUACUGUGUGGGAGGUUCAAAGUGAAAAAACAAACAUUGUGGGAGCGUUUGAUUUCUGAGUUUAACUUUCAGAUCGUGAAGGCACUGGGAGGACUGAUAUGGUAAAUCUAAGCCUCUGGUCUGUCAUCUCUUUAAGUUUAUGUUGAAGGAGGAUGCCUUUGAUCUAUCGUUGCUCCCCCCUGUUGGCUCUUUGACAGUCUCCUCUUUCCCUUUGUUAUAUACUUACUGUUCACAAAGCUCAGCUAAUGUUUUUCUUUGCUUGUGUUAGAUCGUGGUUUGAGAGUAUAUAACUUCGAGUUUUCUGGUUACUUCACAUUUAUACUAAUGGGUAAUGGAUAUUGUUGGUGAGGUUUUGGAUUUAGGAGGAUGCUAUUAUGGGAUCAUCAGUGAUUGACUUUGAUGGAAACGCUUCUUCUCCGUGAUGUCUUCAGCGGGUCCAUUAGUUGAUGAGACGUUGUCGUUUUGGAGUAUCGUCUCAUUCCAUUCCAUCCCCUUGUCUGAAAACAAAACGGAGCGGAGGACUUGAGGAGUGAAGACUGAUCUGAGCUUUCGAUAUUGAUAAGAGGUUCCGAGCCCAACACUGUAGUCAAGUAAUGUCCAAGGAGAUGGUCCUUGUUAGCCUUCUUCAAUCGGGCUCUUACUUAAGCUCCUCUCUAAACCAGAGGAUAUCCUGUUCUUGGUGUGGGGUUUUACGGCAUCUUUGGCCAGAGCGUCGGGAUCACAGAUAUGGUGCAAGUAAGGAUGGGAGGACCUUGUUGUUUCCAUGGCGGAAAGGAGUGUCACAAACAUGGCUGCUAGCUAGCUCUACCAAGACCAUGAGCAACGUCCAAGAAGAACCACUCCAGGUUUUGUUUCAAUCAUGGUUAAGUUCAACUGCUUUUUUUUAGCCAUUCUUAUAUGUUAUUUCAGGAUAAAAGAUCCGUGUUAGAACCAAGUAGCUACAACAAACAAAGCAAGCUCAGGAAAUAACAAUUUACUCCUACCUACCAAAGCACAGAGGUCAACAACAAGGCCAUGUUCUCUAUCUUUCUUUGUGAGAGUGUUAAGUGAGAUCAUGAGAGGCUAUUCUAAUUCUUUUUUAUCUUCUUCUUGUUCAUUCAACAAUAAUCUUCGGGAUGCGGACGUCUGAGCAGAUUAGCUAGUAUGCUGACUUAUCUCCGGGAUGCGGACGUCUGAGCAGAUUAAAACUGAUUCUAUUGGAUUGAUGGUGUUUGACCAAGUACAGGUUUACAGACUGUGGCGAGUUUUGUCAAGAACCACCCGUGGCCUAACGUUGAUGCUUUUAGCGAAGUGCUGCGAAACUAUUAUCGUCUAACCGAAAGAAAGAUUUAGAUACUACUACACUGUGCUUUUUGGCUGUCUCAAGGAAUCUCGUCAUCUGCUCACAGCUGAUAUGGGACCGGGCUCUUGGACUGCCACUAGAGCGGCCAAAGAGUGUAAACAUGUCCUCCCAAAGCCCAACAAAUUUGAGAGAUAAGAGACGGAGAGAGAUCGUUCUAAUGGCAACAAGAGAGCAACAUGAUGAUGGUUCGAAUCUACUACUCAACAGAAUCCAUGAUUUUUGAGUCGAAUUUUCUUUUUAAAUUUGUUCUAGUUUCUUUAUUUUUGAUCGAGACUGAAAUUUUGGGUUUAAUAUGUUUCUCGUAUGGGUUUCUGGAGCUUCGAACCUCCAAUCCAUGGGUUCCUUAUCCCAGAUAGAGUAUCUAUCUAUGGUCCAAUAUUACUCGGCCAGGGUUCCGAGCCAACACUGCAGUCAAGCAAUGGCCAAGGAGAUGGCCUUGUUAGCCUUUUUCAAUCGGGCUCUACUUAAGCUCCUCUCUAAACCAGAGGAUAUACAUGCUCUUUGGCAACUUCUCGUCCAAAGCGUGGGAAUCACAGUUUAUGCAACUUUUGCUUUUUAAUGGUUUUUAUUUUAAUUGUUAAGUUGUCUCUUCCUACUUUGACGUUUGAUUGAGCUUAAUUCAGGUUAUGCAACUUAAUAUCAUAUUUUUUUCUUCUUGAUUGAUUCAUGUAUGGUGCAAGUGAGGAUGGGAGGACCUUGUUGUUUCCAUGGCGGAAACGAGUGUCACAAACAUAGCUGUUAGCUCUACUGAUCAAUGAAUGAGACCAUGAGUAACGUCCAAGAAGAAGAAGAAGAAGAAGAACCCCUGAGGGUUUUGUUUCAAAUCAUCCAUCACUAGUGUUUAAGUUCAACUACUUCUUUUAACCAUUCUUGUUAUUGCAGGAUAAAGUGCCGUGUUGGAACCAGUAGCUAAAACGCAAAGCAAGCCUCAGGAAAUAACAAGUUACUCCUACUGAAGCAAGCACAGAGGUAAACAAACUUCUGCUUUUCUUAGCCUUAGGGUUGAUGAUGACCCAAACAAUAACGACAUCAAUAGUAUAAUCAUCCUCACUCUUCUUCACCAUCAUGCAAGUACAGUUUCCUGUUAGACAAUUUGAUAAACGAAUGAUCACCUUCUCUUCUUUUUUCUUGUCUUGUCUUCUAACUCUUGAGUAUCGUUGAUGAAUUAGCUGGAUACUGUGCCAAGUGAGUAUCGGAGGAGGACAGACGUUAUUUGUUUCUAUGACGUUUCUUCAUCUUCUUCAACUCUUAUCUGAUUUGAUCGAGCAAGUAAAGGUAUAACAAUUCUAUUAGAAUUUUAAAUUAGCAUCUGAUGGUUCUUCUUCUUGUUCUCUUUUUGCAGAUCGUGGAGAAACUGAUUAAAACUGAUUCUAUUGGAGUGAUGGUGUUAGACCAAGUACAGGUAUUGAGAAUUUAGGGUUCUUGGAGCUUCGAACCUCCAAGCCAUGGGUUCUUUAUCCCAGAUAGAGAAGCUAUCUAUGGUCCAAUAUUACUCGGUUCCGAUCCAACACUGCAGUCAAGCAAUGGCCAAGGAGAUGGCCUUGUUAGCCUUCAAUCGGGCUCUUAACCAGAGGUCAAGGAGAUCACUGAAGGAGGUAGAGAGCAUGAACAACUAAUUCCAUAAAUGAUACCAUUCUAUGAGCCAACGUCCAAGAAGCAGGAGAAGAACACCUCCAGGGACCUGAGACGAAGUGAAAUUGAUAAUGAUGUUCUUAUUCUCGUAGUCUCACCACAUUGCUAUAGGCUGACAUCCUUGUUCGUGGUUAUGCUGGUUUGCCUUGAAGGUCUUAGACCAAGUCUUCCCAAAGAUCAUGAGGAACCAAGAUUACUGUGUGGGAGGUUCAAAGAGAAAGAAAAAUCAUUGUGGGAGUGCGUUUGAUUUCUGAGUUUAACUUUCAGAAGAUGUUCUUGCUGUGUACACACAUUCAGAUGAGAGAUCGAUGAUCCACAGAUUCUUUCCUACACGUUUUUGUUCUUAGACUUUGUCCUUUGUAACUGGUUUUUGUUCAAUGUCUUUUUAACGAGAACAUCUCUUCUCUGUUGCAGAUCAUAUGGAGGCGCCAGGGGGGACUGAUAUGACAAAUCUUUCUUCUGGUCUGUUAUAUUUUUAUGUUUCUUGGUGCUACAUCUUUUUAUAACCAUUGUCGUCAUUACAACCACAAGUUGACCGUUGCUCUGUUAUGUCUCACUUUAUCUGUAGUUGCUCCAUGUUACCUCUUUCACGGUCUCUUCUUUCCCUUUGUUAUACUUUACUGUUCACAUAUAUAAGGUAAUGUUUUUCUUUGCUUGUGUUAGAUCGUGGAGGUUCAAGGCCUUAUUGGAGGGAAGGAUGGUUUGCGUAUAACUUCGAGUUUUUGGUUACUUCACAUAUAUCUUGCUUGUUUUUUAAUUAACUAAUGGCUAUUGUUUCUUGACCUUUGUGUUUGUUUUCCAGAUAUCACUUCACUUCGCAGAUGUAAGAUUUGUCUUGCAAACGAGUUUGUUCUUCAGCCCUAGACCCUACAUUUUAGUGGAGGAGGAUGCUUUGAUCAGCUGGUGAUGGUUUUGAUGGAUAGUUUUUGUCUUUAGUGCGCUACAUCUUCAGGUUUUGGAUGAUGCUUUUAUCGAUGAGAGUGAUGGCUUUGAUGGACACGCUUCUUCUCUGUGCUACUUCUUCACAGGGUCUUUUGGAAGCAUACCAUGAUCCAAUCAUCACGUCUUUAAUCCAUGAUAUUGUCUUCAAGCGUUCUCAUGGAUUUGUGGAGGAUGAUCCUGCGAUUGAUCGGUGAUGGCUUUGUCUGAUCGUUGUCACUCUCUUACUCAUGUUGCUCAUCUAGAGUUUGGUUUCUAAAUUGAUCAUUCAAGGCUUUUUUAUUGUGGAGGAGGAUGCUUUGACCGGUUGGCGACAGUUUUGAUGGCUUGUAUUUGUCCACUCUCGCUACAUCUUCAGAUCAUGAGGAUUUGGAUUACUGUGUGGGAGGUUCAAAGUGAAAAAACAAACAUUGUGGGAGCGUCUGAUUUCUGAGUUUAACUUUCAGGUCGUGGAAUGUCGAGAAUGUGAAGGAGGUACGUAGUUCCAUUUUGUUAACUUUCCAUCUACAGUAUUCUCUGUUACCUCGUUGGUGGUUUUUCUCUGGAGGUAUGGUCAUUUUUUCUUCCCCUUUUCUCUUUUUCUCUUUCUGAUUUCAUGAUUUGCAUUUUUCUACCGUUUAAAUGCUAAUCACUUCUGUUUGGGAUGGUGCUUCUCUUUCUAUGUGAAUUUGAAUGAUGCAAGUAGAUGUUCUGUUUAGAUUUGUUUGCCUAGUUUCCUUUCAAGUCUACAAGUUGUCUCAACAGGGCUGACUGAACUUGGGGAUUCCAUCUUUUUCGGUUUAUUUGUCUUGACGCCUUUGUGUGUCUGUCAUUUCUUCUGAUUGUUAUAUGAUUACUGUGUAUUUUUAAGCUUUAAUUUCCUCAUUAGUUGCUGAUUUCAAUUGGUAUGUUUCAUUUUUUUUGGUUAUUAAUUGUCUUGUGUGUGUCUUCCAGCUUGAUUUCUUUGAUCCAUCACUUGACUCUAAUCUUUUGCAGUCUACUGGCAGUCAGAUGAAAGAUGACCAUAAGUUCUUUUGUUAUAUGGGUUUGUACUUGUUUUUUUUACCUUUAUAAGAUAAAUGUCUACUAACGUAGUUUUUGGUAUAUCUUGGAGUCUUUUACGACUUUUCUAGUCUGAGCUCAUCUAGUGCAGAAAGCUAGACAUGUUGAUUCAUGAGUCAUGACUCAUGACAGUUAUUAACAACCAGUUAGGUGGCUUUUAUGUUGUGGUGUGUGUAGAUUACUUGUUGCACCUUGUAGUCAUAAAACGGCAAGUCUGCCACAAUGAACUUUCACUUUUCUAAAUUGCUUGGGUGGUCUUUUCUUAUUUACUCGUCUGUUUUCGUGUUGAUUAAGAUUGUGGAGGAUGCUCUAAAUAUUGAUCGGUGAUGGCUUUGAUUGAUUGAGAUUGUUACACACGUUUCUCUUUUGCCGGUGUCCUAUCUCCAAAAUUCAGUUCCUGAGUAUAUUGUUUUUUUCUGUAUGUUGAUACAUAUCGUGGAGGCAAUGGGAUUUCUAUGUUGAGUUGAAUGUAUCUUCUCGCCUAUCAUCUUUUGGUUUUUUCUGAUUUCUCUGUGCUGCAUCUUUUUUUGUUUUUUUUCCCCGAAUAACACAACUGCCUGUUAUAUCAACAAUUACCUCUGUUUUAUUCGGUCUCAGUGAUCUUUGAUCUCUCGGCAUUCCAUGUUACCUCUUUGCCAGUGUCUUAUUUCUCUCUGUUUCCUUAUUAGGGUCUAUCUGUAAUUUUCUUCUGAUUGUUAUAUGUUUAUAGGGUAUUUUUAAGAUUUGAUUUCCUCAUUGGUUUCAGCAAGGAAUGAUCUCAAUUGGUAUGUUUCAUUUUUGUUAUUAUUUCUCUUCUGUGUGUCUUCCAGCUGGAUUUUUGUAUGUCUACUAACGUGGUUUUUGUAUUAAAUAUAUUGGAGUCUUUUAGGAUUGUUCUAGUAUGAGCUCAUCUUAUGCAAAAAGCUAGACAUAUUCUUGUUACACAGGUUAACAGUAAGAUUUGGACAGUGCCAUUGGGAAGUCUUCAACAUUAUUUUGUCAUGUUAUAUGCUUAUGAUUGUGUUUAUUUUUUUUUUAAUGUGAAGUGUUUAAUCCUACUCUCAUAUGCUUUUGAUGGUGGUUUAGAUGCUAAUCACUUCUGUUUGGGAUGGUGUUUUCUCUUUCUUUGUGAAUUCAUUAUCUUCGUACAUGAAUUUAUAUUAUGCAAGUAGAACUUCUAUUUGGACUUGUUUGCCUAGAUUCCUUUCAAGUCUACAAGUUGUCUCAACAGGGAUGAACUUGGGGUUCCAUCUUUGGUUGUUCAGGUGUAAUGAGCGUCUUUUUCCUGGGUUAGAUUCUUGGUAUUUAAGAGAAGUAAGCUGUGAGUUCCUCACUGGUUGCCUCUAGGAUUGAUCUCAACUGUCUACUCGCAAUGAGAUGAAAGAUGAUCAUUACAUCCUUUUAAAAUGGGUUUUCAUUCCUUCUUAGAUCUUCUGCUAUCUGUUGAUUUAUAUAUAUUGCCUGCAUUUUGAAGUGUAAUGUUCCUCAUCUACCUCGUUCAAUUCGCAUUUCUGCUUAUGCCUGAUUCUUUUGUUAAGUCUUUUUCAUAGAUAUUUCAGGUUACUACUUGGUUUCUUCCUUGUUUAACCUUUUGGUGAGCUACAUCUAUUCCUAGUUUUUUUUUUUAAUCUCAAUUUUACAUGCUUGUGUUGGUAGCUAAUCUAUUUAUGAAUUGCUUCCCAUCAUAAUAGGUAUGUUGAGUAUGUGAAGGAGCCAGACUCCCUUUUUGAUUUUUUGGCAUCGAAGAUUGAAUUAGUAUUUAUAGAUGUGGUUUUUUUUCUUCACUUCUUCUGUUUUGGUCACCACUAUAUUUGAGGGAUAUGUGAUCAGCUUUCCUUCCUUGUAGUCGCUGUUUUGGAUUCCUGCGUGUAGAUCGUUGGGUAACAAUAGUCCUGCCUUUCAGAAGUCUAGUAAACUUGUAUGUUGAGAUAUAGACGAUACUCGUUUCAUAUCCCUUGCCUUGUACUUGAUAUUAAGAGAAGAGAAAGUGUCUUCUGUAGUAGCUGCCCCUAUCCGUUUGUGUCUUUCUACAGCUUAUGUGUGAGAUCCUUGUUUAAAAACAAACAGAGGAGGCAGACAGACUAUGAAGAAUUUACAAAGAGGUUCCAGAACUUCAAUAGGAGGGCUUGCGAGUGGCAAUCUGUUGUUAUUCUUUGCCUCAGAGUUCAUCAUUGUAGCAUUGUUGAUUUUUAAUCUCUUCUUAACUGGUAGCAAUCAAAUGCAGCAGACAAUAUAACAACCCCAAACUGAACAUAAUACUCUAUUUUUUACAGUUCAAAGGCAGUGUCAAAAUUACAAAUCAUUGAUUGACUAAAAAUUAACUCCAUAAUCACUUAGUUUCCUAAAAAAUUC
This is a non-coding RNA of Camelina sativa (false flax), 7904 nucleotides long. The record is from RefSeq and is a predicted model, not a curated record. NCBI's taxonomy places the organism in Eukaryota, Viridiplantae, Streptophyta, Magnoliopsida, Brassicales, Brassicaceae.